This 496-nucleotide ribosomal RNA is filed under the name uncultured bacterium. RNAcentral's name for it is "partial 16S ribosomal RNA". It matches the Rfam family "Bacterial small subunit ribosomal RNA", at positions 29 to 507 of the family's 1533-position model. The record is from RNAcentral.
AUGAACGCUGGCGGCGUGCCUAAUACAUGCAAGUCGAGCGAACAGACGAGGAGCUUGCUCCUCUGACGUUAGCGGCGGACGGGUGAGUAACACGUGGAUAACCUACCUAUAAGACUGGGAUAACUUCGGGAAACCGGAGCUAAUACCGGAUAAUAUAUUGAACCGCAUGGUUCAAUAGUGAAAGACGGUUUUGCUGUCACUUAUAGAUGGAUCCGCGCCGCAUUAGCUAGUUGGUAAGGUAACGGCUUACCAAGGCAACGAUGCGUAGCCGACCUGAGAGGGUAAUCGGCCACACUGGAACUGAGACACGGUCCAGACUCCUACGGGAGGCAGCAGUAGGGAAUCUUCCGCAAUGGGCGAAAGCCUGACGGAGCAACGCCGCGUGAGUGAUGAAGGUCUUCGGAUCGUAAAACUCUGUUAUUAGGGAAGAACAAAUGUGUAAGUAACUAUGCACGUCUUGACGGUACCUAAUCAGAAAGCCACGGCUAACUACGUG